UUUCACUUUUUGUAAAACGUAGUUUUCUCAUUCAGUAAGUGUCCAGUAAUCUGUGUUUGCAACGGGUGAUUUCGGUUUUUACAAUAAUACCAUUGACAAUGGGCGUUUAAAUAAAAUUGUACUCUUUCUCCUUAUGAGACCUGUUUUUUAAAAGUAUUAAUAAUAAAAUACACUGACUAAUAUAGUAUAGUAUCGUCAGAAAAUACGACAUAUCUGAAGAUGGCUGCAGAAUGGGGCAGCCUGCCUCUCCUCUCACUGAGAUGCGUAUUAGAUCAUUUGAGUACAGAGGAUGCUCUCGCUGCAUUGUCCACUUGCCGUCACUGGCGUAGUGCCAUUUUACUAUAUGAGGGUCAAAAAGAAUUACUCAAGUUAAAUGUGAAAACCCUUGAAAGAAACCUCUUUGUUACGAGGCUGUUCAAGAAGUACACUAGAAGACUCCACGUUAUCAUCGAUAGCGACAACAAGGAUUUAGAGAACUUUAUGAAUUUUGUCCUACCGCAAUUCUUUGAUACGAUGAACUUGCAAGAAUUAGUAUUUAUAGGACCCGUUUACCUUCAACAGAAGAACAUUAUAUCAGCGUCGAAACUAAAUCGAAUCAUCACUGAGAGUUUAAUGUUUAAGAAUUCUCACUGUCUACAAAGAUUCACUUUAUUGGGUUGUACCAUGGCACCGGUGAAGAAUGAAAACGACAGAUACACUCAUAAAUAUGUGGAGUAUUAUUCGAGACCACUUACAUUCAGCGCCGUUUCACCCUUCGAUACAGUUUUUUCGCAUUGCAACGCUGGUUUGAUGGCCUUCUCUUCAUUACGACAACUAAUCUUCGAUUUUGACCUGAUGAGUACACAAACACUGCAGACUCUCAGUCUUAUGGGUCAAAUAACAGACCUCACGUUGACAAUUGGACAAAAGCGGCCCGUCAAUCUACCACUGGUGGAUUGGAACUACGCGAACCGUAACUUACGUGUAACCUUGAUAGUUAUAACAGUCCCACACUGCAUGAUGAACAUGGUGAUUGAGGAAGUAUUCAUCGAGGGCUUACCAUUAUUCUCGUUGAAGGUUUUGUUCUGUGAAACGUUGCACGUGGGUAUCCUACAACGCGUUGUACUUAUGUACAAGGAGACGAUACGCGAAUUCGUUUGGAUCGACUCGCCGGGCAACACUGUCGACGUCUGCGGCAGGAUUAUCAAACAUCACCGGGAACCCACUGAGUUUACGAUGUCUAACGUGAAUCCGAUUAUAUUAUUAUGCUGGCAGUGCACUCAAUUAAAAAGACUUGUCAUACAUGGUUACUGGGUGUGGCAAUACGAUCUUCUAGGCAUAGUUCGCCUCCGUAGGUCCCUGCAGGAUCUGGAAAUAUCUGCCAUAUACGAUAGACAAAGUCGCUUCACUACAGCCACACGCAGCGAUCACAUGGUACGGGUGCUGGCCACCGACACGCAGAAGGUCCUCGAUCCUGAAUAUAUACAACAAGUGAACUCGUAUACGGAGUUCGAGUGGGUGCCCGCGCUGUGGGAGCAACUCCACCCCGCCCUGCGCCCGCGAGCCACCGUCGCACACCGCAUCGACUACGUGCUGCGGGAGAGCCUGCGCCCCGCCGUGCGCACGUGAGUGUCCCCUCCCCCCGCGCCCGCAUCGACUACGUGCUGCGGGAGAGCCUGCGCCCCGCCGUGCGCACGUUUUAGAAUGGAAUUCGAAAAUGAUCUCAAGAUUUAAGAUGCAGGUUAUCAACGGUUACCAGCAACGGACUGUAGUAAGAUCUUUAAUAUAUAAUAUUCACUCGGGUCUGUGAGACUUACUGGAAUGUUUUUGAAAUUGGUGUCAUAUUUAUAGGCCACGAAGGCUUUACAUUAAACGACAACUGUUGUUUGUCGCAAAUGUUUACAACUUGUAAUUUUAGGUAUCUUUUUGAUAUUCAUGUAUUAAAAGAAUUGCAUGAUAAACAAAGAUUGAUUUACUAAGAUUUAUUUUACAGCUGCGGAGUGUAAGACCCAUAAUGUUGUUUUGUACUGAGAUCGGAUAUACGAAUGAUUUUUUUUUAUAUAAAAAAUUAUACCAGUUCUUAUCGUAACGAUCAGUAUUGAUUAUGCCAUUUUAAAACAUCAAUAUUGAAAAGAUAUUGUUGAUUGAAUCUAAAAUUGGUUUCGGGUUCUCAAAUUUAAAUUCAUUAUUAAGUGAAAUAUUUAGAUAUAAGAAUUAUAUCGUUAGAAAUAUGUCGAUUACUUCUGUCUAUCGUUUUUAAAUAAUUUAUCUUAAAACAUUCUUUUAAGGUAUGCAAUAUUAAAAAAAAAAUUGAUAUAUGUAGGCCUAAACGACUUCUCCUCGAAUAUUCGCGUUGUAUUUUUUUUUAAAUUGCAUUUCCUCAUAACUAUUAUUAAAAUAUUUAAUUAGCAAAAGUUCCUUUAUCUAGAAUUUACUGGUGACCUAAUAAAGUUCAUAUUAAUUAAACGUGCACUUAGUGAAAACGCGAUAACUUCAUAGAUGUUUUACGCUUGUAAAUAGCUUUAAGUUUUUCAAACUUAGAAGAAAAAAGUAAAAAAAAAUCUGUGAAAAUUGUAUCCUAUAUAUAUCAUAAAUCUAAAUAAUAAUGGCAUUCAAAAGUCAUAGUAAAAGUCAAUUUUCACAAAAUUACUAACAGAGUGUAUAUGUAUAAAUAUAUAUUUAAUCUGUGGUCAUAAAUUUGUCUAUGGUAGAACAUUAAUUAAUUUAUUAUUGUGACCAAAAAGUUCUAUCAUUAAUGAACGAAAUAAAGUGCUAUCUUAACCUUUUGUCAUAUCAACGGUAGCAAAGAAAUUAGUUAUACAGGCUUAUGAAUACAGAUUAAAUUAUAAAACUUCGAAAAAAAUAGAGUUUCUUAGUAAUUUCUAAUAUGUAUAAAAAAAAAUUGAGAAACGCCGAAUGAUAUGUUUACUGGCAUCAUCUCUCAAAAAUACGAAUUUAUCGUAGUUGAAAUUCAUGAUAAAAAAUUUAAAAAGUUAGUAUUCCCACGCCAAGGGUUGUAUAAAACGGUUGAACUGAUAUUAUCUUCAAUACAAAUAUAUGCGAUAAAAUAACACGAUGCAAAAACAAUAGACUAUAUAGAUUUGGUUAAUAAAAUGAAGCCAACAGUAUUUGUAUUCAAAUUCAAAAAUAGAUUUAGACUCAUUAAACUACAAAUUUCAAUAGUAAAUAAUUCAGUCUUGUAGUUUUUAUAUUUAUGACCACUACAAAUGGAAUUUUUAUAUUGGUAUCUUUUUCAUAGUAUUUUGUCGUAUAAGUCUUCGCCAUUGUUUUUUUUUUUAUCAAUAAAAAAAAGUUUCAAUAUAUUCUUACGAUUACAUUACAUUUUCGAAUAUCCAUAAAAACAUAAGUGACAUUUCAUUUUUAUUGGCUUAAGUGUAGACGUUUUAAUGUUAUAUUUAUAAAAUUUUAUUUACGCUGUGUUCUUUGACAGAUAGUUCGCGCCAGUUUUUAUUAUUCGUAGGUGAAUCAUUCUUUUUUUUUUAAUGAUCACUAAUUUGGUUGACGAAAGUCCGAAUAAAUAAGGCUCUUGUAUCGGUUUUAAAAUGAGAUAAACUGUAAUUUGUAACUUGGCGUGGUGGUAAAGAAAAAAUUCGCAACAUCUAGUCAGAACCGUGGGACAUUUGUACAUAUAUUAUAUAGAAUAACGCGUUUACCUGCGGUAUUAAAGAUCGAUUUGCACAAAAUGUAACGAAGUAUUACAAAAAUACAUAUUAUAAUUUAUAUCAUCUCUAUAGCUUUAAGAGAAUAAAAAUCUCAAUACUGUAUCAAAUACAGUUAUUUUUAUCAUACGUGCCACUCUGUUGUUGCGAUGAAUCUAGUUUUUCUCCGAGGAACUUGAAUGUUAUAUAGGUGGAAUGUUAUCUUUUAAGUUAAAACACAAUUUCGUAGUUAACAAUGUGAUUUUUUUUUUUUACAAAUAUAAAAAAAGACAUUGCAUUUAUCAUUACAUUAUCGACCACGAGAGUGAAGAAAAAAUACUUAAAUUACAUUUUAUUUCAUACGAACGAUUAAAAUUCGAAAUUCACUAUACCUUGUAUAUUAUAUGUUUAUUUAUAUGAAACAGCCGAUGUUGGUAUAGUUUUAUUUCAGUGAAGUCAUAUAUAGUCCGUCCCCAGCGCUACACGAUUGCGUUUAUAAAUACACUGACUAAACAAAUUGAAGCGGCUUUAGCUUUCCUCAAUAACAAUACAAGGAGUGCAAAAAAUGAUAAUAAAUAUAUAUAUCAUAGUCACGCACAAACAUUGUGAUCUUAUGAAUAAACCCAAUUAUUCAAAAGUACGCCUUUUAUUAUAGUGUACAAAAAAAAAUUAUAUUCGUACAUUAUCUUCGAUUCUCGUAAUAUUAAAUUGUGCUAAAUAAUUAUUGUAAUCGAAAAAUCACUUUACUAGGCCAAUUUAUUUGUAUUAAAAGAAAUUGCUUCAAGUAGGUUAUAGUACUAAGUACUUUAGAUAAAUAAACUCACUAAAUUACUUGGAAUAAAAAAAAGCAAUGGUUUCUUCAAAUAUUUUUUAAGACAUUUAUAAAAAGUUCGAUGCGAAGAACAUAUAUUGUAAGGCAACGAAGAGACUUACCAACAUACAUUCCCUGAGACUGAGAACAAAUAGAAGAGGCUUAGAUCAAAUAAGACCUUAAUAUGUAUUACAAAAUAAUAUUAAGAACAACGAUGGUGGUCAUUGCAAAAGUGGAUAGCGUACAAUAAUAUUUAUUACUAUACUCUGUAUAAUAUAAACAAUAUCAAAUAUCAAAAACUAUAUUAUUAAAAUAGGAGUUUAAUAAAAGACUUACAUAAAAGAAAUACAUAUAUUUACCUAUUUAAAAUAGCCGUAAUUUAAAUGGGAAAAAAGUCUCUGUUUAUCAAACUUAUACCACUUUUGUUUUGACAGCCAUAAUUGACAACUGACAUAUAUAUAAUGAAAUGUGAUAGAAAUACAAAUGACAACCGUAUUUUAAGAACAUUAACAAAGGAAAAUCAUUCCCGCCUCUUGUUUAAAUAAUUUUGUCUCUGCCAAAAAGACAGCUUUAAAAAUAUUACACUUUUGUUAUAUCGUCAUUGUUUUGAAGACGGUACGCAUCUCUAUUAUUAACAUUAAUCGAUAAACACCAAAGAUGUAAUAGUUUUGCGUACUCAUCUCGAUUCCAAAUAUGGCAGAGACUUAAAAACAAAGACUUCAAUAAGGCUGUGAAACAACUUGAUUCGGUUCGGCUAAUUUUUUAAACAUUGUGAAAUAAGAGUUGUUGGAAAAAUCAGUUAACAGCAAAUAGUACGAUAUUUAUGAGAUCGUUCUCGUUUAAAAUAAAUAACUUUUCUAUAGCAAAGUAAUUGAUCGUGUUAAAACAUUUUUUGGUUUUACUUAUAAACGUGCUUUGUGUUUUUAGUUAAACACUGACUGAUCUCUUUCCGUCAUCAUUUAUUUGACAUUUGAAAGGAGAAGACAGCAAUGUUUGACCAAUCAUCCAAUGAGCAUUAUUUAUAGGUGAAGUCGUUAAUUUGCAGCUAAAUGAACUUUAGUUGGUUAACUGAUUUUUCCAAUACAAUCAAUAGACGAAGGGCAUGAUAUUUUUUUAACCCACCUAAAAUAAUUUGUAACGAAUUUUAUGGUAUUUCAAUGACGAACUUUAGGGCUUAUGAUUAUAAGCGUAUGCCCUUUGUUGUACUAUUCAUUAUGCCUCGCUGUGACAAUGUUGCUAUAUUACAAAUAAAUAUAUUUACAGAUUUUCUUUUCGACAUUUCGCGAAACAUACCUGAAAAGACCUUCGAAGAAAUUUUGAGACAGAAAUUUACAACAUGUAUCGUUUUAAAAUUAUCUUAUUGUAUUAACAAAUGACAAUAAAAUUAUCAAAAAGUUUCUGUAGUAAAGUUUUUUCAUUCGAAAUUUCUUCGAGGGAUUCAUACAAGUCUGACGUUGUCACUGCGCAAGUACUAAUGAAUACAGCUAACCGAAUUGCCUAGAAUUAGAUCAAAAUUGUAGUACUUAUGCAUCUUCUAGUGAUAAUAAAGGGAAUGUGGAGGAGUAUUAGGAACAACAAGUGUUACAAGCUGUUAUCAGAGUGUGUUAAGAGGCUCACUUUCAUUUUUUUUUUUAUUAUCUAUGAUUUAAUUGUAACAGAUUAUGAAGCGUUGACGAGAGUGAGUCUAUUUUGUAUAAUAUUUUUUGAGAGUUUAUUUAUGUUUUAAGAUCUUAAAA
RNA transcript from Nymphalis io (European peacock), 6185 nucleotides. RefSeq lists it as uncharacterized. The transcript has 13 exons. The record is from RefSeq and is a predicted model, not a curated record. NCBI's taxonomy places the organism in Eukaryota, Metazoa, Arthropoda, Insecta, Lepidoptera, Nymphalidae.